GCUCAGGAUAAACGCUGGCGGCGUGCCUAACACAUGCAAGUCGAACGCCCUGCGCAAGCAGGGAGUGGCGGACGGGUGAGGAACACGUGGGUCAUCUGCCCUGGGGUGAGGAAUACCGGCGAGAAAUCGCCGACAAUACCGCAUAGCUUCGCAAGAAGAAAGCUGGCAAGAGCGCCCGAGGAUGAGCCUGCGCUCGAUUAGUUGGUUGGUGGGGUAAUGGCCUACCAAGACCGCGAUCGAUAGCUGGUCUGAGAGGACGAUCAGCCACACUGGGAUUGAGAACGGCCCAGACUCCUACGGGGGGCAGCAGUGAGGAAUUUUCGUCAAUGGGGGCAACCCUGAACGAGCAACGCCGCGUGCAGGAAGACGGUUUUCGGAUCGUAAACUGCUUUUCUCUGGGACGAGAACGGACGGUACCAGAGGAAUCAGCCUCGGCUAACUACGUGCCAGCAGCCGCGGUAAUACGUAGGAGGCGAGCGUUGUCCGGAGUUACUGGGCGUAAAGCGCACGCAGGCGGUCAGGUUAGUCUGUGGUGACAGUCGUCGGCUCAACUGACGAAGUACUAUGGAAACUGUCUGACUUGAGGGCUUCAGAGGGACACGGAAUUCCGGGUGGAGUGGUGAAAUGCGUAGAUAUCCGGAGGAACACCAAAGGCGAAGGCAGUGUCCUGGGAAGUACCUGACGCUCAGGUGCGAAAGCUAGGGGAGCGAACAGGAUUAGAUACCCUGGUAGUCCUAGCCGUAAACGAUGACCACUAGACGUUGGGGGUAUCGACCCCUUCAGUGUCGUAGUUAACACAAUAAGUGGUCCGCCUGGGGAGUACGGUCGCAAGAUUAAAACUCAAAGGAAUUGACGGGGACCCGCACAAGCAGCGGAGCGUGUGGUUUAUUCGAUGCAACGCGAAGAACCUUACCAAGGCUUGACAUGAACUUGCACCAGCCGUAACGGGCUGUCCCUUCGGGGCGGGUUCACAGGUGCUGCAUGGCUGUCGUCAGCUCGUGUCGUGAGAUGUUGGGUUAAGUCCCGCAACGAGCGCAACCCCUGUCGUUAGUUGGAUUUUUCUAGCGAAACUGCCGUUAUAAGACGGAGGAAGGCGGGGAUGACGUCAAGUCAGCACGGCCCUUACGCUUUGGGCGACACACACGCUACAAUGGUCAGGACAAAGAGUUGCGAACCCGCGAGGGGGAGCUAAUCUCGUCAAACCUGGCCUCAGUUCAGAUUGGAGGCUGCAACCCGCCUCCAUGAAGUUGGAGUUGCUAGUAACCGUAGGUCAGCACACUACGGUGAAUACGUUCCCGGGUCUUGUACACACCGCCCGUCACACCACGAAAGUUGGCAACACUUGAAGCCGCUGGGCUAACCCAUCUGGGAGGCAAGCGUCAA
This 1383-nucleotide ribosomal RNA is filed under the name Dictyobacter aurantiacus. Its description in RNAcentral is "16S ribosomal RNA". It matches the Rfam family "Bacterial small subunit ribosomal RNA". Lineage: Bacteria; Bacillati; Chloroflexota; Ktedonobacteria; Ktedonobacterales; Dictyobacteraceae. The record is from RNAcentral.